This 427-nucleotide ribosomal RNA is filed under the name uncultured bacterium. RNAcentral's name for it is "partial 16S ribosomal RNA". It matches the Rfam family "Bacterial small subunit ribosomal RNA", at positions 355 to 774 of the family's 1533-position model. The record is from RNAcentral.
UGGGGAAUAUUGGACAAUGGGCGAAAGCCUGAUCCAGCCAUGCCGCGUGUGUGAAGAAGGUCUUCGGAUUGUAAAGCACUUUAAGUUGGGAGGAAGGGCAUUAACCUAAUACGUUAGUGUUUUGACGUUACCGACAGAAUAAGCACCGGCUAACUCUGUGCCAGCAGCCGCGGUAAUACAGAGGGUGCAAGCGUUAAUCGGAAUUACUGGGCGUAAAGCGCGCGUAGGUGGUUUGUUAAGUUGGAUGUGAAAUCCCCGGGCUCAACCUUGUAACUGCAUUCAAAACUGACUGACUAGAGUAUGGUAGAGGGUGGUGGAAUUUCCUGUGUAGCGGUGAAAUGCGUAGAUAUAGGAAGGAACACCAGUGGCGAAGGCGACCACCUGGACUAAUACUGACACUGAGGUGCGAAAGCGUGGGGAGCAAACA